GAGUUUUGGAUCGAAAGAUCUAACUCCCACCCUUUUGUUUAUUGACCUGUUGCUUCGGCUGGACAUUCCUUCGGGGAUCGUUGACCGUUUACGAGUGAACGUGUUCCAGCCGAAGAAUUUAAACUCUUUACUAGCAGUCUGAGUAUUUUAUAAAAAAAUCAAAACUUUCAACAACGGAUCUCUUGGUUCU
This 190-nucleotide unclassified non-coding RNA is filed under the name rhizosphere metagenome. RNAcentral's name for it is "partial ribosomal RNA internal transcribed spacer region". The record is from RNAcentral.